Molecule: ribosomal RNA, 399 nt
Filed under: uncultured bacterium
Lineage: Bacteria
Description: bacterial SSU rRNA
Rfam family: Bacterial small subunit ribosomal RNA
Source: RNAcentral
AUUGAACGCUGGCGGCAUGCCUAACACAUGCAAGUCGAACGGAGGUAGGGGCAACUCUACUUCAGUGGCGGACGGGUGAGGAAUGCGUCGGAAUCUACCCUAUGGUGGGGGAUAACACAGGGAAACUUGUGCUAAUACCGCAUAAUGUCGAGAGACCAAAGCAGGGGACCGCAAGGCCUUGCGCGAAAGGAUGAGCCGACGCCCGAUUAGCUAGUUGGUAGGGUAAUGGCCUACCAAGGCGACGAUCGGUAGCUGGUCUGAGAGGAUGAUCAGCCACACUGGGACUGAGACACGGCCCAGACUCCUACGGGAGGCAGCAGUGGGGAAUAUUGGACAAUGGGCGCAAGCCUGAUCCAGCAAUGCCGCGUGUGUGAAGAAGGCCUGCGGGUUGUAAAGCAC